This 989-nucleotide long non-coding RNA is filed under the name Pan troglodytes (chimpanzee). RNAcentral's name for it is "lincRNA". The record is from RNAcentral. Lineage: Eukaryota; Metazoa; Chordata; Mammalia; Primates; Hominidae.
GGAUUUUGUUAUCUAUUUGGGAUCCCCAGAGAUUCCAUAUGAAUGGAUGAAGUUUUGCUCUGUCCCCAAGCUGGAAUGCAGUGGUGCAAUCUUGGUUCACUGCAACCUCCGCCUCCCAGGUUCAAGCUAUUCUCCUGUCUCAGCCUCCUGAGUAGCUGGGAUUACAGGUGCAUGCCACCAUGCCCAGCUAAUUUUUAUAUUUUUAGUAGAGACUGGGUUUCACCAUGUUGGCCAGGCUGGUCUCGAACUCCCGACCUCAGGUGAUCCGACUGCCUCAGCCUCCCAAAGUGCUGGGAUUACAAGCAUGAGCCACUGCGCCCAGACUUAAUGAUCAUUCUUUAACAGCCCUUUCUUGAUUUGUGUGUUUGUAUGUGUGUGUGUGUGUGCGUGGGUGUGAAUGUAAUGCAUGUAGUGGAGGUGUUUCUUAUAUAUUAUUUUUCCUUUUCCUUUUUUCUUAUGUCUAUUACUACUCCAUUUUAUAACAUUUAUAUUCUAUAUUAGCAAAAUUGUUAUCUCAAAUUUAAUGUUUGUAAGGUUCUUGUCACUAACCAAUCUAUCUUUAUAGUUUCUCUGUCAGCAGUUUUUUUUUUAUAACAGAGUUAUUUACUUUUUUAUUCAUGCUUCUUUUCAUUCAUCAUCUUUUGGUGUGUUUCUCUCUGUAGUGGAUAUCAUGUUUGCUCAUCUUUGAAAUGUCUUGUUAUAUAUAACAUUUGUAAGAAACAUGUUGAAAUUUUAUGCUCACAUUUUCAAGCUGCAUUUCAAGCUCUUUCUCUUGGUCUGUAAUAAUCAAUUUAUAAGGUUAUUUCAUUCACAAACUAAACUUAAAAAAUUCUGAUAUGGCAUGCUUGUUCAUUUGUAUGUCUGGAUUCUGGUCAUACUUACUCUUUAUUUUUAUUUGUACACAUAAAUUAUACUUCAUGAAUAUAUAUUUUCAUUCAUUAAGAAUAAAUAAAACAUUAAUAAAUCAGCAUUCUCUUACUUUCAAAGGA